AGCGAACGCUGGCGGCGUGCCUAACACAUGCAAGUCGAACGUGAAAAGGGAAACCUGAGUAAAGUGGCGUACGGGUGAGUAACGCGUAGGUAAUCUACCCCAGAAUCUGGAAUAACCUGCCGAAAGGCGGGCUAAUACUGGAUAGAGCGAGGGAACUCGUAAGAGAGUUUUUCGGGAAAGGGAGCCCGCAAGGGCCCUCGUUCUGGGAUGAGCCUGCGUCUCAUUAGCUAGUUGGUAAGGUAACGGCUUACCAAGGCGAUGAUGAGUAGCUGGUCUGAGAGGAUGAUCAGCCACACUGGAACUGAAACACGGGCCAGACUCCUACGGGAGGCAGCAGUGGGGAAUCUUGCGCAAUGGACGAAAGUCUGACGCAGCCACGCCGCGGGAGUGAAGAAGGCCUUCGGGUUGUAAAGCUCUGUCGGAUGGGACGAACAUCUUCAUAGUGAAUAGCUAUGAGGACUGACGGUACCAUCAAAGGAAGCACCGGCUAACUCCGUG
This 498-nucleotide ribosomal RNA is filed under the name uncultured bacterium. Its description in RNAcentral is "partial 16S ribosomal RNA". It matches the Rfam family "Bacterial small subunit ribosomal RNA", at positions 29 to 507 of the family's 1533-position model. The record is from RNAcentral.